CAGUCGCCGCGGUAAUACGGAGGGCGCGAGCGUUACCCGGAUUUACUGGGCGUAAAGGGCGUGUAGGCGGCCUGGGGCGUCCCAUGUGAAAGGCCACGGCUCAACCGUGGAGGAGCGUGGGAUACGCUCAGGCUAGAGGGUGGGAGAGGGUGGUGGAAUUCCCGGAGUAGCGGUGAGAUGCGCAGAUACCGGGAGGAACGCCGAUGGCGAAGGCAGCCACCUGGUCCACUUCUGACGCUGAGGCGCGAAAGCGUGGGGAGCAAACCGGAUUAGAUACCCGGGUAGUCCCUGUCUCUUAUAC
This 301-nucleotide ribosomal RNA is filed under the name uncultured bacterium. RNAcentral describes it as "partial 16S ribosomal RNA". It matches the Rfam family "Bacterial small subunit ribosomal RNA", at positions 509 to 807 of the family's 1533-position model. The record is from RNAcentral.